RNAcentral lists this non-coding RNA (45 nucleotides) under Schistosoma haematobium. Lineage: Eukaryota; Metazoa; Platyhelminthes; Trematoda; Strigeidida; Schistosomatidae. The record is from RNAcentral.
AUCCAGCUGACGAAUCCCAAAUAGGACGAAACACAUAACCUGGAU